This 540-nucleotide ribosomal RNA is filed under the name uncultured eukaryote. RNAcentral describes it as "SSU rRNA". It matches the Rfam family "Eukaryotic small subunit ribosomal RNA", at positions 143 to 684 of the family's 1831-position model. The record is from RNAcentral.
AUAACCGUAGUAAUUCUAGAGCUAAUACAUGCAGGAAUUCCCGACUUCGGAAGGGAUGUAUUUAUUAAAUAAGAAACCAAACCGGUCUCCGGUUGUGUGCUGAGUCAUAAUAACUGCUCGAAUCGCACAGCUCUACGCUGGCGAUGGUUCAUUCAAAUUUCUGCCCUAUCAGCUUUCGAUGGUAGGAUAGAGGCCUACCAUGGCGUUAACGGGUAACGGAGAAUUAUGGUUCGAUUCCGGAGAGGGAGCCUGAGAAAUGGCUACCACAUCCAAGGAAGGCAGCAGGCGCGUAAAUUGCCCGAAUCCUGACACAGGGAGGUAGCGACAAGAAAUAACAAUACAGGGUUCUCUGAGUCUUGUAAUUGGAAUGAGUACAAUUUACAUCUCUUCACGAGGAUCAAUUGGAGGGCAAGUCUGGUGCUAGCAGCCGCGGUAAUUCCAGCUCCAAUAGCGUAUAUUAAAGUUGUUGCAGUAAAAACGACUUCGUAGUCGGAUUUCGGGGCGGGGCCGCCGGUCUGCCGAUAGGUAUGCACUGGCUGG